This 156-nucleotide ribosomal RNA is filed under the name uncultured marine Prymnesiales. RNAcentral's name for it is "partial Bacterial large subunit ribosomal RNA". It matches the Rfam family "Bacterial large subunit ribosomal RNA", at positions 1580 to 1745 of the family's 2925-position model. Lineage: Eukaryota; Haptophyta; Prymnesiales. The record is from RNAcentral.
UGGUAUAUUAAGUGUAUAUGAAAAUUGUCCAAGAAAUAUUUAAUUUAAUGUAACCGUACUUAAACCGACACAGGUGAAUUGGUAGAGUAUACUAAAGCGAUUGGAAGAACAAUUUUGAAGGAACUCGGCAAAUUGAUUCCGUAACUUCGGGAGAAG